GGCGGGGCGGCGGGGCGGGCCUCUCCGCGCGCCGCGGCAGCAGGAGGAGCGCGAGCGGCUGUCGGGGCUGGCGAUGGGGUUAACUGCCCCUCGUGCGUGAGCCUGCCGCGGAGCCGGCCCCAGCCUGCCGGCCGCGCUGCCGCCGCCGCCGCGGUGAAGCUUCCUGUUCUCCUAGCUUUUAGGCGUCUGACAUCUGAAGCCAUAUUCCCAUGCUCGGAGUUGUUUAGAAUUCUUUGGGAUGAUAACACAACAAUUUGAAUCCACUUAUCCAGCUACUUCUGGAGAAGCAAGAAGUUAGAUGAGAAUGCACAGAAGAAGAAUGUCUAGAACAGACUUAAUUUUAACUUUCUCUUGAACUGUAGUUCA
RNAcentral lists this long non-coding RNA (366 nucleotides) under Apteryx rowi (Okarito brown kiwi). RNAcentral's name for it is "lncRNA (ENSARWG00000002145.1)". Lineage: Eukaryota; Metazoa; Chordata; Aves; Apterygiformes; Apterygidae. The record is from RNAcentral.